AUUGAACGCUGGCGGCAUGCCUUACACAUGCAAGUCGAACGGCAGCACGGGAGCAAUCCUGGUGGCGAGUGGCGAACGGGUGAGUAAUGUAUCGGAACGUACCUUUCAGUGGGGGAUAACGUAGCGAAAGUUACGCUAAUACCGCAUAUUCUGUGAGCAGGAAAGCAGGGGAUCGCAAGACCUUGCGCUGAUUGAGCGGCCGAUAUCAGAUUAGCUAGUUGGUGAGGUAAAGGCUCACCAAGGCGACGAUCUGUAGCGGGUCUGAGAGGAUGAUCCGCCACACUGGAACUGAGACACGGUCCAGACUCCUACGGGAGGCAGCAGUGGGGAAUUUUGGACAAUGGGCGCAAGCCUGAUCCAGCCAUGCCGCGUGAGUGAAGAAGGCCUCGGUUGUAAGA
RNAcentral lists this ribosomal RNA (398 nucleotides) under uncultured bacterium. RNAcentral describes it as "bacterial SSU rRNA". It matches the Rfam family "Bacterial small subunit ribosomal RNA", at positions 30 to 430 of the family's 1533-position model. The record is from RNAcentral.